RNAcentral lists this ribosomal RNA (271 nucleotides) under uncultured Staphylococcus sp. RNAcentral's name for it is "partial 16S ribosomal RNA". It matches the Rfam family "Bacterial small subunit ribosomal RNA", at positions 505 to 774 of the family's 1533-position model. The record is from RNAcentral. Lineage: Bacteria; Bacillati; Bacillota; Bacilli; Caryophanales; Staphylococcaceae.
GUGCCAGCAGCCGCGGUAAUACGUAGGUGGCAAGCGUUAUCCGGAAUUAUUGGGCGUAAAGCGCGCGUAGGCGGUUUUUUAGGUCUGAUGUGAAAGCCCACGGCUCAACCGUGGAGGGUCAUUGGAAACUGGAAAACUUGAGUGCAGAAGAGGAAAGUGGAAUUCCAUGUGUAGCGGUGAAAUGCGCAGAGAUAUGGAGGAACACCAGUGGCGAAGGCGACUUUCNUGGUCUGUAACUGACGCUGAUGUGCGAAAGCGUGGGGAUCAAACA